UCCCUAGCGGUCCAGUGGCUAAGACUCUGCGCUUCCAAAGCAGGAGGCCUGGGUUUGAUCCCCAGUCAGGGAA
RNAcentral lists this transfer RNA (73 nucleotides) under Bos taurus (domestic cattle). It matches the Rfam family "tRNA". From Rfam's summary of the family: Transfer RNA (tRNA) molecules are approximately 80 nucleotides in length. RNAcentral also lists the same sequence under 2 other names. Lineage: Eukaryota; Metazoa; Chordata; Mammalia; Artiodactyla; Bovidae. The record is from Rfam by way of RNAcentral.